Molecule: ribosomal RNA, 253 nt
Filed under: uncultured bacterium
Lineage: Bacteria
Description: partial 16S ribosomal RNA
Rfam family: Bacterial small subunit ribosomal RNA
Source: RNAcentral
UUCGAAGGGGGCGAGCGUUGUUCGGAUUUACUGGGCGUAAAGGGCGCGCAGGCGGCUUUGUUUGUCAGGCGUGAAAGCCCCGGGCUUAACCUGGGAACUGCGUUUGAUACGGCAGGGCUAGAGUUCGGGAGAGGAGAGUGGAAUUCCCAGUGUAGAGGUGAAAUUCGUAGGUAUUGGGAAGAACACCGGUGGCGAAGGCGGCUCUCUGGACCGAUACUGACGCUGAGGCGCGAAAGCGUGGGGAGCAAACAGG